UACGUAGGUGGCAAGCGUUGUCCGGAUUUACUGGGCGUAAAGAGCGCGCAGGCGGCCAAGUCAGUCGAAUGUGAAAGCCCCCGGCUUAACUGGGGAGGGUCAUUCGAUACUGCUCGGCUCGAAGACAGGAGAGGGAAGCGGAAUUCCCGGUGUAGUGGUGAAAUGCGCAGAUAUCAGGAAGAACACCCGUGGCUAAGGCGGCUCUCUAGUACGGUACUGACGCUGAGACGCGAAAGCGUGGGGAGCGAACAGG
RNAcentral lists this ribosomal RNA (253 nucleotides) under uncultured bacterium. Its description in RNAcentral is "partial 16S ribosomal RNA". It matches the Rfam family "Bacterial small subunit ribosomal RNA", at positions 524 to 776 of the family's 1533-position model. The record is from RNAcentral.